AAGGCACUUUGAGAACUCGAACUGGAAGAGUUGUGAAGCCUGUCAGAAGACUUUUAGAGUCAAUGAGUCAAGUGAUUGCUGAGCCGGACAAAAGAGAGCAUCUAGCUGCCCUGAUUCAAGCCUUAUCAACUUUUGUUGAAGUGACAGUACCCCAGUGAAACAGAAGCCAGAGGAUAGAUUAAGCAAAUGAGAAAUACUUUAUUAGGGGGUCAUAGGUUGUAUGUAUAUGGGCAUAUUUCUACCUGGCAAAGUCUCUUUGCUGUCCUUCUGGACGACUCUUGGUCAAGGUUACCCCUGUGGAGGAAGAACUCUUACCUUAUGUCUUAAAGUUUGCUGAAAUUAAGAAGGGGUGCGUGUAGUAGAGUUAAAAUGGUUAUUCCAGCAAACUUCAGAUUAUUGGAAUAGUACACAACGCAGAGCAGAACAAUCAGGUUGAGGGUCAGUGGCCAAAGCCCGCGAACAGGAAUGUUCCAAGUUCAGACAGAAGGGGGGAGUCAGAUCGCUAUGAUCGCCAGGAACUUUGCUUUUGGUUUCUCAUUUUAAUUGUUGCGCUACUGGUGAUGACAGUUGAUGUUAGGUGGGCAGCUACAGUAGCUGAAUGAUGUUAACAUCUUCGGGUUUUAUUUCAUGAAAUGUAUUUUAAUUUAUCUGGGUGCUUACGUCACCUACUAACACCCUGGUACUACCCAUAGCUCCCGCUCUCCUCAGUCUGAGAAAACACUGAGAGAGAAAGGUAUGGGUUGCAGAUUACUCCUUUGUAGAAGUCCGUAACGUGAAAUAAAUAAAACGUCCCAAGGUUAAUGCUGUAGAUAUUGUUAUGAGGGAGUGUGAGACUAUUGAAACACGUAACUUUCAGAGUUUUAUUGUUGUUAUUAAUAUAGUUUACAGAGUGCUAAAAGUGUGGCUAGCUAGCAUGCCUUUCUGUGAUGCAGACGGCUAGCUGAGCUACCGACUAGUGAUGGUGUUGCAUUAUGGGAGAUGUAGUUUUGGCCCUCUAAGGUCUGAAUGGGAUAAAGGCGAUUUCACGUUGUAACUUGUUUGUGUUGCAGUGUUUUUGUACAUGAGUUGUUGUAUUUUGGUACUGUCAACACUGAAAGCACCUAGCAAUGUAUUGGGGAUGUGAGACAGGAUAUGUGUUUUACCUUUCUUCAUGCUCCUGUGUAGAACAGCUUGUCAGGUGGUGCAUUGGAGACUGAUGUGUUCCUGUCCUGUCUUUUCACAAUACUAUUGCAGAUCAACAUAAAAGCCUAAAAGACAGCCGUGGUGUCGCUCUUCAUUUCUUGGUUCUCCUGUGGUACAUAGUAAACCCGCUACAUAUAAACACCAUGGGACCACGCAGCC
This 1341-nucleotide long non-coding RNA is filed under the name Salmo salar (Atlantic salmon). RNAcentral describes it as "lncRNA (ENSSSAG00000120585.1)". Lineage: Eukaryota; Metazoa; Chordata; Actinopteri; Salmoniformes; Salmonidae. The record is from RNAcentral.